GAUCCCGGCACUACAGUCCCGGCGCAACCACCCGCACUCAGAUUCUCCCCAAACGCCAAGGAUGGGGGUCAUGGCUCCCCGAACCCUCCUCCUGCUGCUCUUGGGGGCCCUGGCCCUGACCGAGACCUGGGCCGGUGAGUGCGGGGUCGGGAGGGAAAGGGCCUCUGCGGGGAGAAGCGAGUGGCCCGCCCGGCCCGGGGAGCCGCGCCGGGAGGAGGGUCGGGCGGGUCUCAGCCUCUCCUCGCCUCCAGGCUCCCACUCCUUGAGGUAUUUCAGCACCGCAGUGUCCCAGCCCGGCCGCGGGGAGCCCCGGUUCAUCGCCGUGGGCUACGUGGACGACACAGAGUUCGUGCGGUUCGACAGCGACUCCGUGAGUCCGAGGAUGGAGCGGCGGGCGCCGUGGGUGGAGCAGGAGGGGCUGGAGUAUUGGGACCAGGAGACACGGAACGCCAAGGGCCACGCGCAGAUUUACCGAGUGAACCUGCGGACCCUGCUCCGCUAUUACAACCAGAGCGAGGCCGGUAUGAACAGUUCGCCUACGAUGGCAAGGAUUACAUCGCCCUGAACGAGGACCUGCACUCCUGGACCGCCGCGAACACAGCGGCUCAGAUCUCCCAGCACAAGUGGGAAGCGGACAAAUACUCAGAGCAGGUCAGGGCCUACCUGAGGGCAAGUGCAUGGAGUGGCUCCGCAGACACCUGGAGAACGGGAAGGAGACGCUGCAGCACGCGGAUCCCCCAAAGGCACAUGUGACCCAGCACCCCAUCUCUGACCAUGAGGCCACCCUGAGGUGCUGGGCCCUGGGCCUCUACCCUGCGGAGAUCACACUGACCUGGCAGCAGGAUGGGGAGGACCAGACCCAGGACACGGAGCUUGUGGAGACCAGGCCUGCAGGGGACGGAACCUUCCAGAAGUGGGUGGCUGUAGUGGUGCCUUCCGGAGAGGAGCAGAGAUACAUGUGCCAUGUGCAGCAUGAGGGGCUGCCAGAGCCCCUCACCCUGAGAUGGGAGCCGUCUUCUCAGCCCACCAUCCCCAUCGUGGGCAUCGUUGCUGGCCUGUUUCUCCUUGGAGCUGUGGUCACUGGAGCUGUGGUUGCUGCUGCGAUGUGGAGGAAGAAAAGCUCAGGCAGCAAUUGUGCUCAGUACUCUGAUGCAUCUCAUGAUACUUGUAAAGAGUUCUCACCACCUCCUCCCAGGCUAAAUCCUUCAUGUUGCAGGAGACAGAGAAUCCCAGGUGAGACCCGGACUUUUUCUCCUCCCUCCCUUCCUUUUUUCACCGUGUUCAGGAUAAAUUAUCUUGGUUUUGUUUCUGGAGGGAAAAGGGCAGAGAGGCCCUGACUUGAAUCUCAAUCACAUUUCUGCACACAGUACCUGAGGAGACAGAAUAGCAGAGGGGUGGGAACAAUUAACAUUGCUUUAUGGGCUUUAGAAUGGAGAAAAAAUAAUUCCCACUCUUUUUUCUUUUACCCAAAUCCAACUUCAGUUUUCUCUCCAACUCUCUAAAACCACCACCAAUACUAUUAUCACAUCAUGUGUAGCUACUUGGGGGGUGGUGAAAGGCUGAGUACGCAUCAUGUUCAGGUAGUAGGGUGUUAAACGAAAUAGUUCCUCACAGCAAUGCCCAAAGUCAUCCUUGGUCACAAUAAAGGAGAAUAAAGGGAAAAAAGUAUGAUUAUUGUAUUAGAUUGUGGGGUUGCAGGUGAGUUUUUUUUUUCCAUUUUAAAAAUUAUUUUGUGGUUAUAAUGAUGAUGUCAAUUUUUAAAAAAAUAAAAGAAUGGAAAAAGUU
Homo sapiens (human) is the source of this 1785-nucleotide long non-coding RNA. Ensembl annotates it as major histocompatibility complex, class I, L (pseudogene). Its record names the gene HLA-L. Lineage: Eukaryota; Metazoa; Chordata; Mammalia; Primates; Hominidae. The record is from Ensembl.